AGACCCGAAACCCGGUGAUCUAGCCAUGGGCAGGUUGAAGGUUGGGUAACACUAACUGGAGGACCGAACCGACUAAUGUUGAAAAAUUAGCGGAUGACCUGUGGCUGGGGGUGAAAGGCCAAUCAAACCGGGAGAUAGCUGGUUCUCCCCGAAAGCUAUUUAGGUAGCGCCUCGUGAAUUCAUCUCCGGGGGUAGAGCACUGUUUCGGCUAGGGGGCCAUCCCGGCUUACCAACCCGAUGCAAACUGCGAAUACCGGAGAAUGUUAUCACGGGAGACACACGGCGGGUGCUAACGUCCGUCGUGAAGAGGGAAACAACCCAGACCGCCAGCUAAGGUCCCAAAGUCAUGGUUAAGUGGGAAACGAUGUGGGAAGGCCCAGACAGCCAGGAUGUUGGCUUAGAAGCAGCCAUCAUUUAAAGAAAGCGUAAUAGCUCACUGGUCGAGUCGGCCUGCGCGGAAGAUGUAACGGGGCUAAACCAUGCACCGAAGCUGCGGCAGCGAACGUAUCACUUAAAGCGAUUCAGCGGGUUACGAUUGACGGAGCGAAGCGACGUCAAAGCGUAUACAAAGUCGAGUCGGUUUAAGGAUACGUUCGUUGGGUAGGGGAGCGUUCUGUAAGCCUGUGAAGGUGUGUCGUGAGGCAUGCUGGAGGUAUCAGAAGUGCGAAUGCUGACAUAA
This 679-nucleotide ribosomal RNA is filed under the name Salmonella enterica subsp. enterica serovar Infantis. RNAcentral describes it as "partial 23S ribosomal RNA". It matches the Rfam family "Bacterial large subunit ribosomal RNA", at positions 711 to 1305 of the family's 2925-position model. RNAcentral also lists the same sequence under 1 other name. Lineage: Bacteria; Pseudomonadati; Pseudomonadota; Gammaproteobacteria; Enterobacterales; Enterobacteriaceae. The record is from RNAcentral.